CGUGGGGAACCUGGCCUUCAGUGAGGAAUACCGGCGAGAAAUCGCCGACAAGACCGCAUACGUCUUGCGUCUGGAAUGGGGCAAGAGAAAGCUUUCUUUCGGGAGAGCGCUGGAGGAUGGGCCUGCGUCCGAUUAGCUGGUUGGUGGGGUAAGAGCUCACCAAGGCGACGAUCGGUAGCUGGUCUGAGAGGACGAUCAGCCACACUGGGAUUGAGAACGGCCCAG
Molecule: ribosomal RNA, 225 nt
Filed under: uncultured bacterium
Lineage: Bacteria
Description: partial 16S ribosomal RNA
Rfam family: Bacterial small subunit ribosomal RNA
Source: RNAcentral